GUUUAAUACUGUCUCCCAGUGGACCGCCAGAUCCUGACCAGAUAAUUGGCUUGAAAGACACGAAAGAAGUCAAAGUCAGGGCCACUCAUUUGUUCAUUCCUUCAUUCGUUUAUUCAGCCAGUAUUUAUUAGGGCACCAUGUUGAGUGCUGGAGAUUCACGGGUGAACAGGACAGACAAGGCUUUUGCUGUGCUGGAGCCUCAGAACCAGGAGGGUAGACAGGCUGUAAAGAAGUAAUCACAUAUGUGACUGAUGUUUUAGAUAGUGCUAAGUGUCACGUAGACAGUGAAGAGGGUUGAGGUGUCAUAGAGUAAAACUGUGUGGCCACUUCUAACAGAGGGGCAGGGAAGUCCUCUUUGGGGAUAUGACAGGCAAGUUGUGAGACUUGAUGAAGACAGUCAUCUGACAUAGGUGGGGAGUCCCAGACCAAGUCCCCGGGGCAGACGAUGACUUGCUCCAGUGUGGUUGGAGCUCUGUGAACACAGGAGGGAGCGUCAUUUUCACAGAGGAAGGCCG
This 515-nucleotide long non-coding RNA is filed under the name Homo sapiens (human). RNAcentral's name for it is "non-protein coding lnc-RBX1-2:1". Lineage: Eukaryota; Metazoa; Chordata; Mammalia; Primates; Hominidae. The record is from RNAcentral.